This 29-nucleotide non-coding RNA is filed under the name Mus musculus (house mouse). The record is from RNAcentral. Lineage: Eukaryota; Metazoa; Chordata; Mammalia; Rodentia; Muridae.
GAGGAAGUUUGCACCCCGAGGGAGCUAGA